RNAcentral lists this long non-coding RNA (263 nucleotides) under Elaeis guineensis (African oil palm). RNAcentral describes it as "long non-coding RNA (EGUI_LNC050972)". Lineage: Eukaryota; Viridiplantae; Streptophyta; Magnoliopsida; Arecales; Arecaceae. The record is from RNAcentral.
GGCUAAAUCUCUUCAAUCCAUAAAUACGAUGAAGCCUAUAAAUAGAUUUUUAUUUUUUUCUUGUAUUUAAUUUUCAUACAAUAAAAUUAUGAUUUUAUUUUAUAUUUUUUUAUUUUUUUGUAGGUAUUGAUCUAGCCUACACAUCCUAUACCCUCUACUGAUGUGCCGUGAUAUCUGGAUACGGUAUGUACUUAGGAGAGAUAGAUCGUGGUAUGUUAGAUUAAAUUUUAUAUCUUAUUAUUGAAUUUAGAUAGUUUAUACCC